GAAAGGGGUGGGGGGAGAGAGAGAAAAAAAAAGGGGGAAUAAAAAGGGAAAGAAAUAAAGCGAGAGGCGAAUCCCAAUUCCCCAAGUAGUACGCACGCACGAGAGGGGGCGAGGGAGGAGGGCAGCGCGCACACACCAGGGCAGGGGAGGGGAGGGGAGGAGGACUACAAGAGAGGAGAGAGAGGCGGGGGGCGAGGGGCAGCGGCAGAGGGCUGCAGCAGGGGCAGAAGCAUUAGAAGGGGCAGUUGUAACCAAGUGGCAGCAGUAGAUAGAGCCAUCUAUCUAUCUCUCUCUACAGGUAUAAAUCCUUCCUUGCUCGCUUGCUUGCUUGCUCGCUCGCUCGCGCAUCUGGUAGGACGGAGGGGGCAGAAGGAGUUGGUGGUGGGGAUUUCUCGGGCGCCGCGGCGAUGGGGGCGCGCUGAUUGGGCCGCCGGCCGCGAUCUCUCAGUCCAGAUUUCCUUGGGCGGGCCCGCGCGUGAUCUUGCCAUGGGUUCGAUUUGUUGCUGUUAGAUCGCGGCUAGGAGAUCAGCGAGCACGCCCAGAUUUCUCCCUUUCCGGAUCAGUCUCAUCCGACAAGAUAAUAAGCCGAGCGGGAGGGGGAGAAGCCAUGAUGCUGGAGGGCAAAUCCUGCCUCGUCUCGCGCUCCCUGCCCAGCUACUGCGACCCGGACUCCGACUGGGCGUUCCUCCUCAGCGGCAGCAAGCGGCCCGCGCCGGAAGACUUCCGCGCGGAAGACAUGGAGGAGGUAGACGCCGGCGGCAGCAGCAGCGGGAAGCGCAGCAAGUCGCCUUCCCCGCAGCCGCACACGCCGGACAUCACCGAGAGCCACGGCUCCAGCCGCCAUGCCUCCUCCGGCAGCGGCGGAGGGGAGCAGCAAGGCUCUGGGGCCAAUCUCAUUGGCGAGAUUGGCCGCGACCUCUCCAUCAACUGCCUCCUCCGGCUCUCCAGGUCGGACUAUGGCUCCGUCGCCUCCCUCAACAGGGACUUCAACUCCCUGGUGCGCAACGGGGAGAUCUACCGCCUGCGGCGGCAGAAUGGCAUCGCCGAGCAUUGGGUCUACUUCUCCUGCAAUGUCCUGGAGUGGGACGCCUAUGACCCCUACAGGGAGCGCUGGAUCCAGGUGCCCAAGAUGCCACCGGAUGAAUGCUUCAUGUGCUCUGACAAGGAGUCCCUGGCUGUGGGCACCGAGCUGCUUGUGUUUGGGAUGGCACACAUUGUGUUCAGAUAUAGCAUCCUGACCAAUUCAUGGACAAGGGCUGAUCCCAUGAACUCUCCCCGGUGCUUGUUUGGAUCAACAAGCGUCGGUGAAAAGGCGUAUGUCGCUGGAGGCACCGAUGCUUCUGGAAAGAUACUGAGCUCUGCCGAGAUGUAUGAUUCUGUGACACACACUUGGACACCCCUUCCCAGCAUGAAUAGAGCUAGGAAGAUGUGUUCUGGUGUGUUCUUGGAUGGCAAGUUCUAUGUGAUUGGUGGUGUUACCAACAACAACCAGGUACUGACAUGUGGUGAGGAAUAUGACUUGAAUCGGGGGUCAUGGAGGGUCAUUGAGAACAUGUCUGAGGGCCUCAAUGGAGUGACAGGUGCUCCUCCACUCAUUGCAGUUGUCAACAAUCAGCUCUAUGCAGCUGAUUACAGUGAGAAGGAUGUGAAGAAGUAUGACAAGCUGAAUAAUAAGUGGAUCGCUCUUGGGAAAUUGCCUGAACGGUCUGUGUCGAUGAAUGGCUGGGGCCUUGCUUUCCGAGCCUGUGGUGACCGGCUGAUUGUCAUCGGAGGCCCAAGGACUUCUAUUGGUGGCAUCAUUGAGCUUAAUUCCUGGGUUCCCGAUGAGCAACCGCCUGUGUGGAAUUUGGUUGCCACACGGCAAUCCGGGAACUUCGUGUAUAACUGCGCCGUGAUGGGUUGCUGAGUCCACUGAAUAAAGAUUGGAUGCAGUGGAUAUUUAUGAAGGAUGAUAGUAUGCACAAAGGCAGCCUGUUCAAUUGCUCCAGCCCUGAUUCUUCGUAGGGAUUUAUGCCUUCUGCCCAGUUAACUGGACAUCUGCUGAGCGGCAGCACUCAUGUAACCCUUGAGUUCUAAUACUUCUGUUUUCCUUGCUAAUCCAUUUCUACAUUUGCAAUUUGGAUCAACAGCUCGUGAUUUCAAAGAUACGAGACUAUGCAAAAACAGUGUUAUAUUAAUAAUCUAGAAACAACUUCCAGAAUGCUCGCCUUUCACUGUUGAUGAUGAACAAC
This 2231-nucleotide ribosomal RNA is filed under the name Triticum aestivum (bread wheat). RNAcentral describes it as "partial small subunit ribosomal RNA". The record is from RNAcentral. Lineage: Eukaryota; Viridiplantae; Streptophyta; Magnoliopsida; Poales; Poaceae.